GCUUGCUCCAUGAUUCAGCGGCGGACGGGUGAGUAAUGCCUAGGAAUCUGCCUGGUAGUGGGGGACAACGUUUCGAAAGGAACGCUAAUACCGCAUACGUCCUACGGGAGAAAGUGGGGGAUCUUCGGACCUCACGCUAUCAGAUGAGCCUAGGUCGGAUUAGCUAGUUGGUGAGGUAAAGGCUCACCAAGGCGACGAUCCGUAACUGGUCUGAGAGGAUGAUCAGUCACACUGGAACUGAGACACGGUCCAGACUCCUACGGGAGGCAGCAGUGGGGAAUAUUGGACAAUGGGCGAAAGCCUGAUCCAGCCAUGCCGCGUGUGUGAAGAAGGUCUUCGGAUUGUAAAGCACUUUAAGUUGGGAGGAAGGGCAGUAAGUUAAUACCUUGCUGUUUUGACGUUACCAACAGAAUAAGCACCGGCUAACUUCGUGCCAGCAGCCGCGGUAAUACGAAGGGUGCAAGCGUUAAUCGGAAUUACUGGGCGUAAAG
Molecule: ribosomal RNA, 491 nt
Filed under: Pseudomonas sp. SMPSB.17
Lineage: Bacteria; Pseudomonadati; Pseudomonadota; Gammaproteobacteria; Pseudomonadales; Pseudomonadaceae
Description: bacterial SSU rRNA
Rfam family: Bacterial small subunit ribosomal RNA
Source: RNAcentral